This 405-nucleotide ribosomal RNA is filed under the name uncultured Sphingomonas sp. Its description in RNAcentral is "bacterial SSU rRNA". It matches the Rfam family "Bacterial small subunit ribosomal RNA", at positions 354 to 776 of the family's 1533-position model. The record is from RNAcentral. Lineage: Bacteria; Pseudomonadati; Pseudomonadota; Alphaproteobacteria; Sphingomonadales; Sphingomonadaceae.
GUGGGGAAUAUUGGACAAUGGGCGAAAGCCUGAUCCAGCAAUGCCGCGUGAGUGAUGAAGGCCUUAGGGUUGUAAAGCUCUUUUACCCGGGAAGAUAAUGACUGUACCGGGAGAAUAAGCCCCGGCUAACUCCGUGCCAGCAGCCGCGGUAAUACGGAGGGGGCUAGCGUUGUUCGGAAUUACUGGGCGUAAAGCGCACGUAGGCGGCUUUGUAAGUUAGAGGUGAAAGCCUGGGGCUCAACUCCAGAAUUGCCUUUAAGACUGCAUCGCUUGAAUCAUGGAGAGGCGGGUGGAAUUCCGAGUGUAGAGGUGAAAUUCGUAGAUAUUCGGAAGAACACCAGUGGCGAAGGCGGCCCGCUGGACAUGUAUUGACGCUGAGGUGCGAAAGCGUGGGGAGCAAACAGG